UGGGGAAUUUUGCACAAUGGGGGAAACCCUGAUGCAGCGACGCCGCGUGAUUUAGAAGGCCUUCGGGUUGUAAAAAUCUUUUGUAUGGGAAGAAAAUGACAGUACCGUACGAAUAAGGACCGGCUAAUUACGUGCCAGCAGCCGCGGUAAUACGUAAGGUCCGAGCGUUGUCCGGAAUCAUUGGGCGUAAAGGGUACGUAGGCGGAUAAGCAAGUUAGAAGUGAAAUCCUAUAGCUCAACUAUAGUAAGCUUUUAAAACUGCUCAUCUUGAGGUAUGGAAGGGAAAGUGGAAUUCCUAGUGUAGCGGUGAAAUGCGCAGAUAUUAGGAGGAAUACCGGUGGCGAAGGCGACUUUCUGGCCAUAUACUGACGCUGAGGUACGAAAGCGUGGGUAGCAAACAGG
RNAcentral lists this ribosomal RNA (402 nucleotides) under Verrucomicrobiota bacterium. RNAcentral describes it as "Verrucomicrobia bacterium partial 16S ribosomal RNA". It matches the Rfam family "Bacterial small subunit ribosomal RNA", at positions 355 to 776 of the family's 1533-position model. Lineage: Bacteria; Pseudomonadati; Verrucomicrobiota. The record is from RNAcentral.